RNAcentral lists this ribosomal RNA (445 nucleotides) under uncultured bacterium. RNAcentral's name for it is "bacterial SSU rRNA". It matches the Rfam family "Bacterial small subunit ribosomal RNA", at positions 67 to 507 of the family's 1533-position model. The record is from RNAcentral.
CGGUAACAGAUCUAGUCUUGCUAGAUGCUGACGAGCGGCGGACGGGUGAGUAACGCGUAGAUCCUACCAGUAGGAGGGGAUACGGACCCGGGGAAACUCGGAUUAAUACCGCAUAAUCUCUAAGGAGUAAAGGGGGCUUCGGCUCUCGCUAUUGGAUGAGCCUGCGUGGGAUUAGCUAGUUGGUGAGGUAAAGGCUCACCAAGGCGACGAUCUCUAACUGGUCUGAGAGGAUGAUCAGUCACACUGGAACUGAGACACGGUCCAGACUCCUACGGGAGGCAGCAGUGGGGAAUAUUGCACAAUGGGCGCAAGCCUGAUGCAGCCAUGCCGCGUGUGUGAAGAAGGCCUUCGGGUUGUAAAGCACUUUCAGUGGGGAGGAAGGCCAAGUAGUUAAUACCUGCUUGGAUUGACGUUACCCACAGAAGAAGCACCGGCUAACUCCGUG